RNAcentral lists this ribosomal RNA (253 nucleotides) under uncultured bacterium. RNAcentral describes it as "partial 16S ribosomal RNA". It matches the Rfam family "Bacterial small subunit ribosomal RNA", at positions 524 to 776 of the family's 1533-position model. The record is from RNAcentral.
GACAGAGGGUGCAAACGUUGUUCGGAAUUACUGGGCGUAAAGCGCAUGUAGGCGGCCUGACAGGUCGGAUGUGAAAUCCCUCGGCUCAACCAAGGAAGUGCAUUCGAAACCGUCAGGCUGGAGUCCCGGAGAGGAAGGUGGAAUUCUCGGUGUAGAGGUGAAAUUCGUAGAUAUCGAGAGGAACACCGGUGGCGAAAGCGGCCUUCUGGACGAGGACUGACGCUGAGGAGCGAAAGUGUGGGGAGCGAACAGG